GACGAACGCUGGCGGCGUGCUUAACACAUGCAAGUCGAACGGUGAUCUUGAGAGCUUGCUCUUGGGUGAUCAGUGGCGAACGGGUGAGUAACACGUGAGUAACCUGCCCCUGACUCUGGAAUAACUUCGGGAAACCGAAGCUAAUACCGGAUAUGACACAGAGCCGCAUGGUUUCUGUGUGGAAAGUUUUUCGGUUGGGGAUGGACUCGCGGCCUAUCAGCUUGUUGGUGAGGUAAUGGCUCACCAAGGCGACGACGGGUAGCCGGCCUGAGAGGGCGACCGGCCACACUGGGACUGAGACACGGCCCAGACUCCUACGGGAGGCAGCAGUGGGGAAUAUUGCACAAUGGGCGAAAGCCUGAUGCAGCGACGCCGCGUGAGGGAUGAAGGCCUCGGUUGUAACUACUUCUAGUAGGAAGAAGCGCAAGUGACGGUACCUACAGAAGAAGACACCGGCUAACUACGUGCCAGCAGCCGCGGUAAUCUAGUCU
RNAcentral lists this ribosomal RNA (491 nucleotides) under uncultured bacterium. RNAcentral describes it as "bacterial SSU rRNA". It matches the Rfam family "Bacterial small subunit ribosomal RNA", at positions 28 to 534 of the family's 1533-position model. The record is from RNAcentral.